AUUGAACGCUGGCGGCAGGCCUAACACAUGCAAGUCGAGCGGAUGAAGGGAGCUUGCUCCUGGAUUCAGCGGCGGACGGGUGAGUAAUGCCUAGGAAUCUGCCUGGUCGUGGGGGAUAACGUCCGGAAACGGGCGCUUAUACCGCAUACGUCCUGAGGGCGACAGUGGGUGAUCUUCGGACCUCACGCUAUCAGAUGAGCCUAGGUUGGAUUAGCUAGUUGGUGGGGUAAAGGCCUACCAAGGCUACGAUCCGUAACUGGUCUGAGAGGAUGAUCAGUCACACUGGAUGUGAGACAGGGUCCAGACUCCUACGGGAGGCAGCAGUGGGGAAUAUUGGACAAUGGGCGAGAGCCUGAUCCAGGCAUGCGGCGUGUGUGAAGAAGGUCUUAGGAUUGUAGAGCGAUUUAAGUUGGGAGGAAGGGCAGUAAGUUAAUACCUUGUUGUAUUGACGUUACCAACAGAAUAAGCACCGGCUAACUUCGUG
This 484-nucleotide ribosomal RNA is filed under the name uncultured bacterium. RNAcentral describes it as "partial 16S ribosomal RNA". It matches the Rfam family "Bacterial small subunit ribosomal RNA", at positions 30 to 507 of the family's 1533-position model. The record is from RNAcentral.